GACGAACGCUGGCGGCGUGCUUAACACAUGCAAGUCGAACGAUGAUGCUGGAGCUUGCUCCAGUUGAUUAGUGGCGAACGGGUGAGCAACACGUGAGCGAUCUGCCCUUGACUCUGGGAUAACUGCGGGAAACUGUAGCUAAUACCGGAUACUUUCACCGGAAGGCAUCUUCUGGUGAUGAAAGAAUUUCGGUCAGGGAUGAGCUCGCGGCCUAUCAGCUUGUUGGUGAGGUAACGGCUCACCAAGGCGACGACGGGUAACCGGCCUGAGAGGGGGACCGGUCACACUGGGACUGAGACACGGCGCAGACUCCUACGGGAGGCAGCAGUGUGGAAUAUUGCACAAUGGGCGCAAGCCUGAUGCAGCAACGCCGCGUGAGGGAUGAAGGCCUUCGGGUUGUAAACCUCUUUUAGCAGGGAAGAAGCGAAAGUGACGGUACCUGCAGAAAAAGCACCGGCUAACUACGUGCCAGCCGCCGCAGUAA
RNAcentral lists this ribosomal RNA (484 nucleotides) under uncultured bacterium. Its description in RNAcentral is "partial 16S ribosomal RNA". It matches the Rfam family "Bacterial small subunit ribosomal RNA", at positions 28 to 523 of the family's 1533-position model. The record is from RNAcentral.